UCCUACGGGAGGCAGCAGUGGGGAAUAUUGCACAAUGGGGGAAACCCUGAUGCAGCCAUGCCGCGUGUAUGAAGAAGGCCUUCGGGUUGUAAAGUACUUUCAGCAGUGAGGAAGGGGUGUACGUUAAUAGCGUGCAUCUUUGACGUUAGCUGCAGAAGAAGCACCGGCUAACUCCGUGCCAGCAGCCGCGGUAAUACGGAGGAUCCAAGCGUUAUCCGGAUUCAUUGGGUUUAAAGGGUCCGUAGGCGGGUCUUUAAGUCAGUGGUGAAAGCCGACAGCUCAACUGUCGAACUGCCAUUGAUACUGGAGACCUUGAGUACAAAUGAAGUAGGCGGAAUGAGUCAUGUAGCGGUGAAAUGCAUAGAUAUGACUCAGAACACCGAUUGCGAAGGCAGCUUACUAACAUGUAACUGACGCUGAGGGACGAAAGCGUGGGGAGCGAACAGGAUUAGAUACCCUGGUAGUCCACGCCGUAAACGAUCAUCACUCGCUGUUGGCGAUAUACUGUCAGCGGCCAAGCGAAAGUAUUAAGUGAUGCACCUGGGGAGUACGCCGGCAACGGUGAAACUCAAAGGAAUUGACGGA
Molecule: ribosomal RNA, 585 nt
Filed under: uncultured bacterium
Lineage: Bacteria
Description: bacterial SSU rRNA
Rfam family: Bacterial small subunit ribosomal RNA
Source: RNAcentral